Molecule: ribosomal RNA, 472 nt
Filed under: uncultured bacterium
Lineage: Bacteria
Description: bacterial SSU rRNA
Rfam family: Bacterial small subunit ribosomal RNA
Source: RNAcentral
UGGGGAAUAUUGGACAAUGGGGGAAACCCUGAUCCAGCGACGCCGCGUGUGUGAAGAAGGCCUGCGGGUUGUAAAGCACUUUCGGUGGGAACGAAAUGUGCCGGGCUAAUACCCCGGUAAGCUGACGUUACUCAAUGAAGAAGCACCGGCUAACUCUGUGCCAGCAGCCGCGGUAAUACAGAGGGUGCGAGCGUUAAUCGGAAUUACUGGGCGUAAAGCGUGCGCAGGCGGUUUUGUAAGACAGAUGUGAAAUCCCCGGGCUUAACCUGGGAACUGCAUUUGUGACUGCAAGGCUAGAGUACGGCAGAGGGGGGUAGAAUUCCACGUGUAGCAGUGAAAUGCGUAGAUAUGUGGAGGAAUACCGAUGGCGAAGGCAGCCCCCUGGGUCGAUACUGACGCUGAGGCACGAAAGCGUGGGGAUCAAACAGGAUUAGAUACCCACGUAGUCCCUGAGCGGGCUGGCAAGGCGCAU